Molecule: non-coding RNA, 354 nt
Organism: Schizosaccharomyces pombe (fission yeast)
Lineage: Eukaryota; Fungi; Ascomycota; Schizosaccharomycetes; Schizosaccharomycetales; Schizosaccharomycetaceae
Source: the annotation of a GenBank genome assembly
AAUCUACAACCAUUGUGGCUAACAGUUGUAUCUGGAAAUUAUAAGCCAUUUUAACUAACUGAAGUUUUGCGUUGAGUUCAGGCGAAAACUCAGUUACACCAGCAAUAGCGACAAAGGCAAUGCCCAAAAGGCCAUAGUACAUUCCUUUAUUUUCACUUAAAGCUUCACGGAAAGGACGGCCCUGAUAAUUGAUAGCAAACGUUGAGACUUGUUGAAUAAGUUGAAGCAAAUAAAUGGCAGUAUUCAACAAAGAAGGCUUGAAGGUUUCUUCUAAAUCCACCUUUUCUAAAGGAUCCUCAUACAGAUAAACGACACGAGUUAUAUAGAUAAGGGUAACGAUAUGAAUAGCAAACU